CCUACGGGGGGCAGCAGUGAGGAAUAUUGGUCAAUGGGCGUAAGCCUGAACCAGCCAAGUCGCGUGAGGGAUGAAGGUUCUAUGGAUCGUAAACCUCUUUUAUAAGGGAAUAAAGUGCGGGACGUGUCCCGUUUUGUAUGUACCUUAUGAAUAAGGAUCGGCUAACUCCGUGCCAGCAGCCGCGGUAAUACGGAGGAUCCGAGCUUUAUCCGGAUUUAUUGGGUUUAAAGGGUGCGUAGGCGGCCUUUUAAGUCAGCGGGGAAAGUUUGUGGCUCAACCAUAGAAUUGCCGUUGAAACUGGGAGGCUUGAGUAUGUGUGAGGCAGGCGGAAUGCGUGGUGUAGCGGUGAAAUGCUUAGAUAUCACGCAGAACCCCGAUUGCGAAGGCAGCCUGCCAAGCCAUGACUGACGCUGAUGCACGAAAGCGUGGGGAUCAAACAGGAUUAGAUACCCUUGUAGUC
This 460-nucleotide ribosomal RNA is filed under the name uncultured bacterium. RNAcentral's name for it is "partial 16S ribosomal RNA". It matches the Rfam family "Bacterial small subunit ribosomal RNA", at positions 338 to 795 of the family's 1533-position model. The record is from RNAcentral.